Molecule: transfer RNA, 68 nt
Filed under: Sprattus muelleri (New Zealand sprat)
Lineage: Eukaryota; Metazoa; Chordata; Actinopteri; Clupeiformes; Clupeidae
Also listed under: 1 other name
Description: tRNA-Ser (AGY)
Source: RNAcentral
GAGAGAGGCUUGUAGCACCAGAGACUGCUAAUCCCUGCCCCCGCAGUUAGAUUCUGCGGCUCACUUGG